UAGAUUUUUAAAUUUUGCUUUAUAGAGGUGCCCUUGGUGUGCGUCGCCCCCCUUUGCCUUAUUAUUGUUCCGGCGUCCCUGCAUAUUCAUUCAAUUAUAUCCAAUAUAAGACUGUUAUAAGACUUGUAAUGUGUUGCACUAAUGCUGUGCUAUUUACUAACACUACAGUACAUUGGCUGCCAAUGGCUGGGAUCUGUUAAACACUUCAUUGCCCAUGGCGUCCUACUUUGGUAUUUUACUUUGCCUAAUUCCAGACAAUUUUACUUUUCAAGGGAGGGUAUUGCACACUAAUGUGGGUUAACCAGCUCAAACAAUCACCUCAAACUCUAUUGUGCUGCACUGAAUUUUUAUUUUUUUUAAUUAAUUAAACUCUUUGGCGGCCCACCCCAAAUCAUUCAUCCGCUAGCGGUUGACGGCUUUGUGUUUUCAUAUCUUCGGUUCAGUGCAUGCUAUGAAGAUAGAAAUACCACCAUUCGACUCAG
This is a non-coding RNA of Paramuricea clavata, 482 nucleotides long. Lineage: Eukaryota; Metazoa; Cnidaria; Anthozoa; Malacalcyonacea; Plexauridae. The record is from the annotation of a GenBank genome assembly.